AGAGGUACCGGCCCUCGACCCGCUCUGCACGCUGCAACUGGCGGUGCACCAGGGUCGUGCAACCAACCCCGCGGCCGUACUGCCGGAGCCAGGAUCAGCUUCCGUCUCCGUGGGCGAGGAUCCGUUAGGCGUGUCGUUCAGCACGUGUUUAUUGAGCAAGUACUGCAGCCUGGGUUCUGGGCUUGGACAGUUCAGGCACGGGUAAAAGGCUGGUGGACCUUUGACCGUUAGUGAACACAGAAGAGAAAGUUCGUGCCGGGCUGAGGUCCUCCCGAUUUGCAUAAGAUGGUCCUGCAGUCUCCAGAGAGGUGACUGAAGCCGCUCUUUGAAAGGGAUGGUGGCGUUAUUACAAAGAGGCUGUGCCGUGGGAAACGAUGACUGCGAGACUUGCGUGCACUGGGCAGCCUUGGAACAGCCGUGGCCCCCAGCUCUUCUCACCUCAACAAGGAAGUCAUAGCCACGGACACUCAGGGCCUCAGUUUCCCCUGCACGUGUAGACCAUCACUGGGCUCUGGCACAGGUGCAUGUGUGUAUGGGGCAGGGUCGACAAAGCACCCGCGGUACUGGAGCCGCCUAGGAGGUGCCACAGCCGGGCUGGGACAGAAAGAGAG
This is a long non-coding RNA of Tupaia belangeri chinensis (Chinese tree shrew), 611 nucleotides long. RefSeq lists it as uncharacterized. Lineage: Eukaryota; Metazoa; Chordata; Mammalia; Scandentia; Tupaiidae. The record is from RefSeq and is a predicted model, not a curated record. The transcript has 2 exons.